AACGAACGCUGGCGGCAGGCCUAACACAUGCAAGUCGAGCGAGAAGCUACCUUCGGGUGGUGGGCAGCGGCGGACGGGUGAGUAACGCGUAGGAAUUUACCUCGGAGUGGGGGACAACCACUGGAAACGGUGGCUAAUACCGCAUACACCCAUCUGACAUGAGGUCGGAUGGGGAAAGAUUUAUUGCUCUGGGAUGAUCCUGCGUCGGAUUAGCUUGUUGGUGAGGUAACGGCUCACCAAGGCUGCGAUCCGUAGCUGGUUUGAGAGGAUGAUCAGCCACACUGGGACUGAGACACGGCCCAGACUCCUACGGGAGGCAGCAGUGGGGAAUAUUGCACAAUGGGCGCAAGCCUGAUGCAGCCAUGCCGCGUGAGUGAAGAAGGCCUUCGG
Molecule: ribosomal RNA, 390 nt
Filed under: uncultured Pseudomonadota bacterium
Lineage: Bacteria; Pseudomonadati; Pseudomonadota
Description: bacterial SSU rRNA
Rfam family: Bacterial small subunit ribosomal RNA
Source: RNAcentral